RNAcentral lists this ribosomal RNA (466 nucleotides) under uncultured bacterium. RNAcentral describes it as "bacterial SSU rRNA". It matches the Rfam family "Bacterial small subunit ribosomal RNA", at positions 330 to 794 of the family's 1533-position model. The record is from RNAcentral.
GCCAGACUCCUACGGGAGGCAGCAGUGAGGAAUAUUGGUCAAUGGCCGGAAGGCUGAACCAGCCAAGCCGCGUGAAGGACGAAGGUGCCAAGCAUUGUAAACUUCUUUUGUCGAGGGACAAAAUCAGGCUCGAGAGCCUGACCGAGGGUACUUGAAGAAAAAGCAUCGGCUAACUCCGUGCCAGCAGCCGCGGUAAUACGGAGGAUGCGAGCGUUAUCCGGAUUUAUUGGGUUUAAAGGGUGCGUAGGCGGAGUGUCAAGUCAGCGGUAAAAUUUCGGGGCUCAACCCCGUCGUGCCGUUGAAACUGACGCCCUUGAGUGCGCGAGAAGUAUGCGGAAUGCGUGGUGUAGCGGUGAAAUGCAUAGAUAUCACGCAGAACUCCGAUUGCGAAGGCAGCAUACCGGCGCGCAACUGACGCUCAUGCACGAAAGCGUGGGUAUCGAACAGGAUUAGAUACCCCCGUAAA